RNAcentral lists this ribosomal RNA (865 nucleotides) under Reophax sp. RNAcentral's name for it is "partial small subunit ribosomal RNA". It matches the Rfam family "Eukaryotic small subunit ribosomal RNA", at positions 1160 to 1628 of the family's 1831-position model. Lineage: Eukaryota; Foraminifera; Lituolida; Reophacidae. The record is from RNAcentral.
AAGGGCACCACAAGAACGCGUGGAGCAUGUGGCUUAAUUUGACUCAACGCGGGAAAUCUUACCGGGUCCGGACACACUGAGGAUUGACAGGCAAUAUUAAAAUGAUAUUUUUAAUAUUAUUUUAUGUUAAAUAUGCUAGUCCUUUCAUGAUUAUGUGAUAGGUGGUGCAUGGCCGUUCUUAGUUCGUGGAGUGAUCUGUCUGCUUAAUUGCGUUUCACUAAGGGCUUAUAAAUUACGUGUGUUUGUAACACUUUGACCCCUAUGUUUUUUUUAUUAAAAAUGUAGCGCGUUGUCUUAGUUUGUUUACUCCGCACAAUUAAGUCCUGAAAGCAACGAACGUGACCGCAACCUCUUGUUGCCUCUUGCACAAUCCUUAAUCAGAAGUUAACAAUUAUUUUUAUUAAUUUUUGUUUUAUUUCUUUAAGAAAAAGGGGCUUUUUAAACUAGAGGGACCGCUGUAACUUUUUUAAACCAGAGGAAGGUUGCGGCAAUAACAGGUCUGUGAUGCCCUUAGAUGUUCCGGGCUGCACACGUGCUACAAUGAUUAUUGCAGUGAGCAUCUCAUAUUACACACCGCAAGCGCGAGGCCAGUUUUGUUAUCAUCUUUUUGGAUGUGCCUAACUGUUGUUUCUUUGCGCAGCGGUAAAGCCUACUUCGAAAGUUAGUGGGUAAUCAAUUAGAAGUAAUGAUUUCCUUUUUUUCCAGCACACAUAUAUACGGCGUUGUAACCCGGAAUAGUCUUUGUAUUAUUUUUUGUGUGUUUCAAUGUUUUUUUCCGUAUGUGCAAUUGUCAAUUCAUGGUGGGGACAGACCAUUGUUAAUUGUUGGUCUCGGUCUUAACUAGGAAUGCCUUGUACGGGUCUUU